Molecule: ribosomal RNA, 215 nt
Filed under: uncultured bacterium
Lineage: Bacteria
Description: partial 16S ribosomal RNA
Rfam family: Bacterial small subunit ribosomal RNA
Source: RNAcentral
GGGGGAUAACAUUAGAAAUGACUGCUAAUACCGCAUAAGACCGCGGUACCGCAUGGUACAGCGGUAAAAACUCCGGUGGUAUGAGAUGGGCCCGCGUCUGAUUAGCUAGUUGGCGGGGUAACGGCCCACCAAGGCGACGAUCAGUAGCCGACCUGAGAGGGUGACCGGCCACAUUGGGACUGAGACACGGCCCAAACUCCUACGGGAGGCAGCAG